UGGCGGCGUGCCUAAUACAUGCAAGUCGAACGCACUGACGUCGACAGAAGGUGCUUGCACUGGAAGUUGAUUGACGUGAGUGGCGGACGGGUGAGUAACACGUGGGUAACCUGCCCUUAAGCGGGGGAUAACAUUUGGAAACAGAUGCUAAUACCGCAUAAAAGUUGAGAUCACAUGGUCUUAAUUUGAAAGACGGCCUUUGGCUGUCACUUAAGGAUGGACCCGCGGCGUAUUAGCUAGUUGGUGAGAUAAUAGCCCACCAAGGCGAUGAUACGUAGCCGACCUGAGAGGGUAAUCGGCCACAUUGGGACUGAGACACGGCCCAAACUCCUACGGGAGGCAGUAGGGAAUCUUCCACAAUGGACGAAAGUCUGAUGGAGCAACGCCGCGUGAGUGAAGAAGGUUUUCGGAUCGUAAAACUCUGUUGUUGGAGAAGAACAGGGACUAGAGUAACUGUUAGUCCUUUGACGGUAUCCAACCAGAAAGCCACGGCUAACUACGUGCCAGCAGCCGCGGUAAUACGUAGGUGGCAAGCGUUGUCCGGAUUUAUUGGGCGUAAAGCGAGCGCAGGCGGUUUCUUAAGUCUGAUGUGAAAGCCUUCGGCUUAACCGAAGAAGUGCAUCAGAUACUGGGAAACUUGAGUGCAGAAGAGGAAAGUGGAACUCCAUGUGUAGCGGUGAAAUGCGUAGAUAUAUGGAAGAACACCAGUGGCGAAGGCGGCUUUCUGGUCUGUAACUGACGCUGAGGCUCGAAAGUAUGGGGAGCGAACAGGAUUAGAUACCCUGGUAGUCCAUACCGUAAACGAUGAAUGCUAAGUGUUGGAGGGUUUCCGCCCUUCAGUGCUGCAGCUAACGCAUUAAGCAUUCCGCCUGGGGAGUACGACCGCAAGGUUGAAACUCAAAGGAAUUGACGGGGGCCCGCACAAGCGGUGGAGCAUGUGGUUUAAUUCGAAGCUACGCGAAGAACCUUACUAGGUCUUGACAUCUAGCGCCAAUCCUAGAGAUAGGACGUUCCCUUCGGGGACGCUAAGACAGGUGGUGCAUGGUUGUCGUCAGCUCGUGUCGUGAGAUGUUGGGUUAAGUCCCGCAACGAGCGCAACCCUUAUGAUUAGUUGCCAGCAUUUAGUUGGGCACUCUAAUCAGACUGCCGGUGACAAACCGGAGGAAGGUG
RNAcentral lists this ribosomal RNA (1170 nucleotides) under uncultured bacterium. Its description in RNAcentral is "bacterial SSU rRNA". It matches the Rfam family "Bacterial small subunit ribosomal RNA", at positions 37 to 1175 of the family's 1533-position model. The record is from RNAcentral.